AACUAACAAGGAUUCCCCUAGUAAUGGCGAAUGAAGAGGGAAAAGCCCAAAUUUGUAAUCUGGCUCUUUCAGAGUCCGAGUUGUAUUUUGAGAACUGUUUUCAGUGCUGGACCAUGUACAAGUCUGUUGAAAAGCAGCAUCAUAGAAGGUGAUAAUCCUGUUAAUGAUAUGGACUACCAGUGCAAUAUGAUACAGUCUCUAAGAGUCGAGUUGUUUGGGAAUGCAGCUCAAAGUGGGUGGUAAAUUCCAUCUAAGGCUAAAUAUUGAUGAGAGACCGAUAGCAAACAAGUACCGUGAGGGAAAGAUGAAAAGAACUUUGGAAAGAGAGUUAACAGUACGUGAAAUUGUUAAAAGGGAAACAAUUGAAGUUAGACUUGUUAUUAUUAGUUCAACCUUUUCAAGGGAGUAUUCUGAUGAUUAACAGACCAACAUCAAUUUUUGGGUGUUGGAGAAGGGUUCAAGGAAAUGUAGCAGUCUCUGACUGUGUUAUAGUCCUGGGCUUUGAUACAAUGCUUAAGAUUGAGGAUUGCAGUAAGCACAUUUUUUUGGGUGGAACUAAUUAUUGUUCUUCUUACUGAGGAUGUUGGUGCAAUAGCUUUAAAUG
RNAcentral lists this ribosomal RNA (604 nucleotides) under Uromyces viciae-fabae. RNAcentral describes it as "eukaryotic LSU rRNA". It matches the Rfam family "Eukaryotic large subunit ribosomal RNA", at positions 63 to 646 of the family's 3401-position model. The record is from RNAcentral. Lineage: Eukaryota; Fungi; Basidiomycota; Pucciniomycetes; Pucciniales; Pucciniaceae.